GAGGGUAUAGCUCGGUGUCAGAGUGUGUGCUUAGCAUGCAUGAGGUCCUGGGUUCAAUCCCCAGCGCUGCCA
This 72-nucleotide transfer RNA is filed under the name Camelus bactrianus (Bactrian camel). It matches the Rfam family "tRNA". Rfam says of the family: Transfer RNA (tRNA) molecules are approximately 80 nucleotides in length. Their secondary structure includes four short double-helical elements and three loops (D, anti-codon, and T loops). RNAcentral also lists the same sequence under 2 other names. Lineage: Eukaryota; Metazoa; Chordata; Mammalia; Artiodactyla; Camelidae. The record is from Rfam by way of RNAcentral.